Long non-coding RNA from Fundulus heteroclitus (mummichog), 951 nucleotides. RefSeq lists it as uncharacterized. The transcript has 3 exons. The record is from RefSeq and is a predicted model, not a curated record. Lineage: Eukaryota; Metazoa; Chordata; Actinopteri; Cyprinodontiformes; Fundulidae.
AUUUGUGUCUUCCUCCCUCUCUAUCUCUCAGAGGGAUAAAUUACUCAAAAAUAAAAAAGGAGCAAAACAGAGUUACACGGCAAGUGGAAAAGAGAGGUUUUAGUCCAGUGGGAUUCCCAUUCCUAAUCAAUCGCUGCUUGCUUUUGCUUACUGAGAUGUUGGCUCAUAUUUUUUCAGCAUGUGAGAGACGAGCCGUGUGUCAGGGCAUUCCACACGGACCGGGUGCCAAAAUUUAGAUCCAGAGCCAGAUGGCGCAGAUCAGUCGGGAUAUGUGAAACACCUUCAUAUUCAUAAACUGCAAACUGACAUUACUGGAGAGGAGUGCUUCCAGUUUACAAGAUGGCCAUAAAACCCACCAGCCUCAAGGCCACUGAUGGUAUUUUCUUCAUGUAUAUAUCAAGAUGUUUGCAGGCUUUGUCCUUGCUUGUGUGCUAUGUUUUGUAGCCUGAUGAUUUUGUCCUUAAGAUUGUGAAAGAUUGAGUCCCAGUACUCAGUACUUUCAUCCCUGCAAGACUAGUUCCCUUUAGCAACACUUCUGUUUGCAAUCCAGAAUAAUCACUGUAGAGUGCAUAGCUCUGGUUGGAGGUUUAUUUACAUUUAUAAUUUGGAGCUUUUAAUUUUUCUUUCAAGUUUUGGUGGCCCAGAACCAUUGCCCCACCUGAUCAAGAUGGGUAACUCUCAUGCGCCGGCGUUUAUUGUUGUUUGUACAACAAUGACACACUUCAAUAAGCAAAAAUAAUGUUUAUACAGUGGUUUAGAUGCAUUAAUUCAAUUAGUGAGCACACACACUUUGUUCACUUAUAUAUUUUCAUCAACUAAUUUCUCAUCUUGACUUUCAUUACCAAUUCUUGUUUCUUCUACUGGUUCUUCACGUUCCAUGAUCCUUGGGAGUUUGGUGACCAGAAGUCAGAGCAGCUAAAUAUGUGGACGCAUUUUUGAAACGAUUUUUAU